GGUUGCUGCAGGCUGUGUGUUGCUGCUGCCGGCUUGAUGCUGUUGUGGAUGCGUCGUGAUGAUCGACUUGCAACUCUUUUGGCUAAAGAGAGAAGCCAUUCACUAACUUACAUUGGAUGCAUAAAGAAAGGACCUGUGAUAACUGACUCUAAACUGAAGUGGUAUGAGAAAUCAGGACAUCUGAUUGGUAGUAAAUACGUCUUGCAUGCUUAUGGUCCUACCUAUGUUCUUUCUGCAGAGGUGGUA
Molecule: non-coding RNA, 246 nt
Organism: Camellia sinensis
Lineage: Eukaryota; Viridiplantae; Streptophyta; Magnoliopsida; Ericales; Theaceae
Source: RefSeq, a predicted model, not a curated record